Cavia porcellus (domestic guinea pig) is the source of this 1060-nucleotide long non-coding RNA. RefSeq lists it as uncharacterized. The record is from RefSeq and is a predicted model, not a curated record. The transcript is spliced from 3 exons. NCBI's taxonomy places the organism in Eukaryota, Metazoa, Chordata, Mammalia, Rodentia, Caviidae.
AGAACUGGGGAAGUUGUUCCUAAUGCUGCAUUGUUAAAGUCAGUCUUUCCUUGCAGGUUGCCUUUGGACUGCUUUUGGUGAUACCAUGACUUCAGGCUGUACGCAGGAGCAGCAGUGUGUUCUGUGCAGGGGGCGUUGUACGAGUCGAGUGCGUCUAUUUUAUUUGUAAGCCUUGUCUGAGCCUCGUACCUGAGUCCUAAGGAGGUGACGCCUCUGCUUUGGGGGUACAGAACUCUCACCCCACAGAGCUCAUGCUGUCUCUCCCCUGAGAAGUGACAAUGCAGACCUGGUAACCCAAGCCAAGGCAGGAGAAAUGUGUGUCUCAUCUGAAUAUUUUUCAGACACAAAUUAUUAUUAAAAGGAAGGCUUGAAGGUCCCCAAUACAAGGAGCUGAUAAUAUUUGAGGACCCGGGAAUGAUUGGUGUUUAUGUGCAGACGGGCCAGGUUUUGUCCAGUUUGGGAAAUGCUCCAGAGGUUGCCUGUCUCAGGUUUUGACCUUCUUGUCUGGGAGCCUGGGGUUGGCAUUUGUGCCGGGGCUUUGUGUGUGUCUGUGUGCAGGUUCGCUGACACAUGGGGCCCAGGGCUCCUCCUCCUUCACACAGAGCACAAGUUGUCCCCUGGUGAAGACUACAGAGCUGAAACCCAACCACAGUGACACUGGGACUUUUUUGAUGAGGAGGGUAAGAAAAGAUUAAAGUACAAACUCAUAAAAGGAGAAUGCUGAGCAUUUCACCCUGGGUGAAUUCUCCAUUUGUUGAUAGUAUCUUCAGAAACUUUCUCAAGAGAAGGAGUCAAACUGACCGUGGAGGAUAAAAAUCACCAAAUUAGAGCAUGUGCUCUCGGCUGUGGGGUGCAGGUCCUCCACACCCCUCGGAACAGUGAGAGCAGUGUUGCAGGAGACCCCUUUCACGUCUCCAAGUGAGGCCCUGCUGUGGGUGUUUCUCAGGAGAAAUAAAAUUCUGUGCCUUACUCCUCACUUUCAUCCACGGAUCCCCGAGCCCUUUGGUUUGUUCUUCCUUUUUUCUUCGAUUUUCAAAGACUCUGUGUAUGAUGUAAUUUC